AGCCAUCCAGUGCUCACAUCAGAGAUGCAUUUUUUGCCUUUCUCCUUUGGCAAUCUGACUUUGAGGUCUAACUGGAUUUCUCAGCCCCUCUCCAUGCAUCUGCACAAACUGCUCGGGCUUCAUGCACAUGGGCUCUUCUCUGGACAGCUCCACCUCAUCCAGGGGUCAAUUGGAGGAUCAGACUUUCCUGUAGGGACCCUUUGCUGGCAGCCAUCCCAAGCUGCAGCAGAGCAAGCAGAGAACUCUCCCAGCCUUGGGAGCGCUCUGGCCCAGCCCCUGCCCCCAGACCCGAGGACUACCCAGUGCCCACCGCUCCCCUCCCCCCACAGGCCUCACCUCCCAGCUGCCCACGGACACAUUCCUUCAGUCCACGCUUGCUAAAAGGCCCCCAAGACCAGUAGAACCAGUAUCAUUAUCAACUUAUCAACCCAACAGCAGCACAAAUGAAUCACUGACCCUGGGUCAGCUCUGGGGUUGCAAGAACGGAGAAUAAAAUGUCCUUGUUCGCCGACAUUCUAACGGGGAGAAAGCACGGGCGUGGAACGCUGCAGAAGCCACAAAUACACAGGGAAGAAGAACAAGGUGGAACGGAGAAUGCUAAAGGAAGGGAGGGGUCUUCACGCAGAAGGCCGGGUGUGAGCCGCAUUUUGGAGGAGGAGACGAGGAGUGACAGUCUCGUAGCCUUGGGGAAUGGCCUUUGAGAAAGGAGGGGAGGGCAUGAGUGGGACAGAGGGAGGGACAUGAAGAAUGUGGGAGGGAGAGCCAUGUCCAGUGAGGCUGGGGGGGAGGGGGAGGCAAACAGAAGCUUCGUGUUACCCCGGAGGGCUUUAGAAAAGUCACCUGGCAGCUCAGGAGGAUGGGCUAGAAUGAGGAGGCAGGAAAAUCUGGUAAUAAGCCCUUGUCAUAAUCCGGGGGCAGGGACGGCCACCCCCUCCUACCCUUCUAGUCUUUUUUCAUCUUACCCGCCAUGAUGGACUCUGACCCAGCCAUAGGUUGGGUUCCUCUAACAAGACCAUGUGUCUGCCCUGGCUCCUCCUCACCUUGGCCUCCAACCUUCCCUGGCUUCCUCUAAAACUCAGCUUAAAUCCCUUCUUCAAGGGAAUUCCUCAGGCCUCCCUCCUCCCCAAUUAAUCCCUACCCUCCAAAAUGGGCCCAUUUAUACUGUGUAUUUUUUUUAUUUAUUUUAUUAAAGCUUCUUAUUGACAAAA
Long non-coding RNA from Antechinus flavipes (yellow-footed antechinus), 1208 nucleotides. RefSeq lists it as uncharacterized. The record is from RefSeq and is a predicted model, not a curated record. Lineage: Eukaryota; Metazoa; Chordata; Mammalia; Dasyuromorphia; Dasyuridae. The transcript has 3 exons.